RNAcentral lists this ribosomal RNA (253 nucleotides) under uncultured bacterium. Its description in RNAcentral is "partial 16S ribosomal RNA". It matches the Rfam family "Bacterial small subunit ribosomal RNA", at positions 524 to 776 of the family's 1533-position model. The record is from RNAcentral.
UACAGAGGGGGCAAGCGUUGUUCGGAAUUACUGGGCGUAAAGGGCGCGUAGGCGGCCUUCUAAGUCGAACGUGAAAUCCCUGGGCUCAACCCAGGAACUGCGUCCGAUACUGGAAGGCUUGAAUCCGGGAGAGGGAUGCGGAAUUCCAGGUGUAGCGGUGAAAUGCGCAGAGAUCCGGAGGAAUACCAGAGGCGAAGGCGGCACCCUGGGUCUGACCUGACGCUGAGACGCGACAGCAUGGGGAGCGAACGGG